Long non-coding RNA from Passer montanus (Eurasian tree sparrow), 1628 nucleotides. RefSeq lists it as uncharacterized. The transcript is spliced from 2 exons. NCBI's taxonomy places the organism in Eukaryota, Metazoa, Chordata, Aves, Passeriformes, Passeridae. The record is from RefSeq and is a predicted model, not a curated record.
GAGAACAACAGCUGAAGACUUCUGACUCCUUCUUGGACAGCUGGGCUGGAAAAAGAGACUUUUAAAACACCUUGGGGUCAUCACCACCAGGCAGAAAAUCCUGAGAUCUCCUCUGUGGGCGAGGAGAAUCCCACUGCUCCCUUUCCCUGACAAACUGAGCAGAGUCCAUGAACCCAGCUCUGUGCUGGACAGCAGAGCAGGACAGGGAGCUGUGACAUUCCAGCUUGUCCUGCCUGGAAGAAUCUUGUCCAUGCAAGAAUCAUGGCAGGAGGAGAGGGGCUCCUCCUGGAGCCUCAGCUUGCAGAGAUCUGUCUGUCCAGAGGCAGCUCCCGAGCACGGACACACCCCUCCCUCCCAGGCAGGACUCGGACCAGGCAGGAGAGGCCGUCAGGAAUUUAAUGGAGCUUGGCACUGGAAACUGUACAACAUUUACAGAGAACCACACGCUGUGUCUAUGUACACCCCUGCCCACUCCCAGAGCUCCCGGCCGGACACGGCACAGGCAACGACAAUCCUUGGAUGUGGAGUCACCAACAAGCUCCCCGAGCCUGCAUUUCGGGAUAUGGCUCCCCAGUCCUGGAUUUCAGGUGACAGGGAUUGCAGGAUCUCACUUCCCAAGCCUGGAUUUAGGGAUAUGGCUCCCCAGUCCUGGAUUUCAGGUGUCAGGGAUUGCAGGAUCUCAAUCCCCAAGCCUGGAUUUCAGGUGACAGGGAUUGCAGGAUCUCACUUCCCAAGCCUGGAUUUCAGGAUAUUUCUCCCCAGUUCUGGAUUUCAGGUGACAGGAAAUAAAGGAUCCCACUUCCCAAUCCUGGAUUUCAGGUGCUAGGGAUUAGAGGAUCCCAGUCCCCAGUCCUGGAUAUUGGGAUAUAGCUCCCCAGUCCUGGAUUUCAGGUGACAGGGACUGCAGGAUCCCACUCCCCAUCCUGGAUCUCAGGUGACAGGGACUGCAGGAUCCCAGUCCUGGAUUUCAGGUGACAGGGACUGCAGGAUCCCAGUCCUGGAUCUCAGGUGACAGGGACUGCAGGAUCCCAGUCCUGGAUUUCAGGUGACAGGGACUGCAGGACCCCACUCCCCAUCCUGGAUCUCAGGGACACCCCGCCGUGCUCAGAGCUGUCACCACUCUCCUUCCCACAACACCCUGCAGCGCCAUUCCCAAGCCGGGUCUUUCCCUGGAUUUUCCCUGAUCUUUGGAGUGCUAGAAGAUGGCAGUGCUGCCACCCUGAGUAUUUACAACCACUCCUCCUCCUCUCCUCACACCUCCAACACUUCCUCUCCUCUACCUUUCUACCACAUGCAAGAACCCCUUGGUUGCCUCCAAGUCCUGCUUCCCGUUGGGAAGCGUUUCAUUUCCAAAAGGCAACAAAAACACGGAAUCUACCUUCGCUCCCUGCUACCCCCUCUACUCACUGCUCCCCAACCCUUUACAACGUGCCUACAACCUUCCUACACCCUAGAGUAAAGCAGUUCUCUUUCAGUAGUGUCUCCCCCCAGCCCGUGGAUUGCUCCGGGGUGAUGUGAGGGACAGUUGGGAUGUCACCCCUCGGAGCACGAAGGAUCAAGUACUGGAAAGGAAAUGCCAAGUCUGAGCAACAAAAAUACAAAAAUAAAAAAUAAAAAAACCAAUCAAA